UGCCAGCCGCCGCGGUAAUACGUAGGGUGCGAGCGUUGUCCGGAAUUAUUGGGCGUAAAGCGCGUGUAGGCGGUUCGUUAAGUCUGAUGUGAAAGCCCGGGGCUCAACCCCGGAAGUGCAUUGGAAACUGGCGAACUUGAGUACGGGAGAGGAAAGUGGAAUUCCGAGUGUAGGAGUGAAAUCCGUAGAUAUUCGGAGGAACACCAGUGGCGAAGGCGGCUUUCUGGACCAAUAUUGACGCUCAGGCACGAAAGCGUGAGGAGCGAACAGGAUUAGAUA
This 279-nucleotide ribosomal RNA is filed under the name uncultured bacterium. RNAcentral's name for it is "partial 16S ribosomal RNA". It matches the Rfam family "Bacterial small subunit ribosomal RNA", at positions 506 to 784 of the family's 1533-position model. The record is from RNAcentral.